AAAAAUGAUUUUUCUAGUUUAUGAGCCCUAAAAUUUCUAUGUACUUUGGAUUUUCACCAUUUUUUAUCAACACCUUCUUUUUGUGAUCCGUCAAGGAGGGGUCCUAGAUAUGUAAGUUAUCUACUAAACCCAAGUAGUAGCACUCAAAAAUAUUGAGUACACAUGUCGUAGUGACUAAUUUAGCAAAAACUGUUUUGUGUCUUUUAAGGAAAAUUGACUAUUUUUGGACAGUCAAGAGUAGGGGCUGUUUAGUCAUUUUUUUGGCAUUCAAAAAUUCUGGGAAAAUUUGGGAGGAUAAUAUGAUAAGUUUUCUAACAUCUCCAAGUGGAAUCACUGAAAAAGGAGUUGUAGAUUUUCGUAUGGAAUAUUUUUAAAAAAGUACGAAAACCAUGUUUUUCCAAUUUUGCUACUGCCAAGGAUUUUUCAAGGGCUGUUUCGGAAACUUAAAUUAUGAAAUAAAUUCUGGCCUUUUGGGACAUAAAAAUAUAUGGUAUUAAGUACCUCCUAUCCAAAAAUGAGCUCAUUCCGACUUAAAAUGACCAAGUUAUGACCAUUUCAAUUUUGGUAAUUUUCCGACUAAAACGGCUAUAACCGGAGUUCUAUAACUCCGAUGGCCACGAAAUUUAAACUGGAGCCUCACGUUAACACGUAUAAGAUUGUGUCAUAAGAUGGAAAUUUCUGGAGUUAAGCACGAGGUAGCUAAUUUCUUAAGGAAUUUACUAAAACUGAUUUUUGAAAAAUACCAAAGGAAGUUGGAAAAUUUUGAAAAAAUACUUUUUGUGUAUGAAAUAUAUGUAUAUGUGUUUGGGCAAAAGAUAGAGAAAUAAUAAGUUGUUUUAGUAUUUUCGUGUAAAGGAUAUGGAAUCCAUCUUGCUGGAUUGAAAAAUUUGAUGAAUCUAGCUUGCUAGAUUGAAAAGAAGCAUACUGAAUUAAAGUAUUUGGAAUCCAGUCUGCUGGAUUGGCAAUUUGGUUGCUAAAUUUAGAAUUCAGGUUGCUGGAUUAGUAUUUGACUUAUUAUAUGAUAAGGAAUAACUUAUGAAAUGAAAAAG
Molecule: long non-coding RNA, 1049 nt
Filed under: Panax ginseng (ginseng)
Lineage: Eukaryota; Viridiplantae; Streptophyta; Magnoliopsida; Apiales; Araliaceae
Description: long non-coding RNA (PGIN_LNC006664)
Source: RNAcentral